RNAcentral lists this ribosomal RNA (1523 nucleotides) under Microbacterium sp. Bi121. RNAcentral describes it as "bacterial SSU rRNA". It matches the Rfam family "Bacterial small subunit ribosomal RNA". The record is from RNAcentral. Lineage: Bacteria; Bacillati; Actinomycetota; Actinomycetes; Micrococcales; Microbacteriaceae.
UACGGAGAGUUUGAUCCUGGCUCAGGAUGAACGCUGGCGGCGUGCUUAACACAUGCAAGUCGAACGAUGAUGCCCAGCUUGCUGGGUGGAUUAGUGGCGAACGGGUGAGUAACACGUGAGCAACCUGCCCCUGACUCUGGGAUAAGCGCUGGAAACGGCGUCUAAUACUGGAUACGAGUAGCGAUCGCAUGGUCAGCUACUGGAAAGAUUUUUUGGUUGGGGAUGGGCUCGCGGCCUAUCAGCUUGUUGGUGAGGUAAUGGCUCACCAAGGCGUCGACGGGUAGCCGGCCUGAGAGGGUGACCGGCCACACUGGGACUGAGACACGGCCCAGACUCCUACGGGAGGCAGCAGUGGGGAAUAUUGCACAAUGGGCGGAAGCCUGAUGCAGCAACGCCGCGUGAGGGAUGACGGCCUUCGGGUUGUAAACCUCUUUUAGCAGGGAAGAAGCGAGAGUGACGGUACCUGCAGAAAAAGCGCCGGCUAACUACGUGCCAGCAGCCGCGGUAAUACGUAGGGCGCAAGCGUUAUCCGGAAUUAUUGGGCGUAAAGAGCUCGUAGGCGGUUUGUCGCGUCUGCUGUGAAAUCCCGAGGCUCAACCUCGGGCCUGCAGUGGGUACGGGCAGACUAGAGUGCGGUAGGGGAGAUUGGAAUUCCUGGUGUAGCGGUGGAAUGCGCAGAUAUCAGGAGGAACACCGAUGGCGAAGGCAGAUCUCUGGGCCGUAACUGACGCUGAGGAGCGAAAGGGUGGGGAGCAAACAGGCUUAGAUACCCUGGUAGUCCACCCCGUAAACGUUGGGAACUAGUUGUGGGGUCCAUUCCACGGAUUCCGUGACGCAGCUAACGCAUUAAGUUCCCCGCCUGGGGAGUACGGCCGCAAGGCUAAAACUCAAAGGAAUUGACGGGGACCCGCACAAGCGGCGGAGCAUGCGGAUUAAUUCGAUGCAACGCGAAGAACCUUACCAAGGCUUGACAUAUACGAGAACGGGCCAGAAAUGGUCAACUCUUUGGACACUCGUAAACAGGUGGUGCAUGGUUGUCGUCAGCUCGUGUCGUGAGAUGUUGGGUUAAGUCCCGCAACGAGCGCAACCCUCGUUCUAUGUUGCCAGCACGUAAUGGUGGGAACUCAUGGGAUACUGCCGGGGUCAACUCGGAGGAAGGUGGGGAUGACGUCAAAUCAUCAUGCCCCUUAUGUCUUGGGCUUCACGCAUGCUACAAUGGCCGGUACAAUGGGCAGCGAUACCGUGAGGUGGAGCGAAUCCCAAAAAGCCGGUCCCAGUUCGGAUUGAGGUCUGCAACUCGACCUCAUGAAGUCGGAGUCGCUAGUAAUCGCAGAUCAGCAACGCUGCGGUGAAUACGUUCCCGGGUCUUGUACACACCGCCCGUCAAGUCAUGAAAGUCGGUAACACCUGAAGCCGGUGGCCUAACCCCUUGUGGGAGGGAGCUGUCGAAGGUGGGAUCGGUAAUUAGGACUAAGUCGUAACAAGGUAGCCGUACCGGAAGGUGCGGCUGGAUCACCUCCUUU